AAGCGUUGAAGCAUAAUAGCGUACCGGGAUGCCUUGUUAUGCAGAGCUUUCAGUAGGGGUUGUGCAGUAACCUCAAACCGGAGUAGGCUGCAAAGCCGAAGAAAAUGCUCAAA
Molecule: non-coding RNA, 113 nt
Filed under: unclassified sequences
Description: drum RNA
Rfam family: drum RNA
About the family: Firmicutes, Bacteroidetes (1 example), Proteobacteria (2 examples), Spirochaetes (2 examples). Terminator (Clostridia)
Source: Rfam by way of RNAcentral